UGAAGAUGCCUCUGGAUGAAGCUGCUU
Molecule: non-coding RNA, 27 nt
Filed under: Homo sapiens (human)
Lineage: Eukaryota; Metazoa; Chordata; Mammalia; Primates; Hominidae
Source: RNAcentral